Non-coding RNA from Paramuricea clavata, 1029 nucleotides. The record is from the annotation of a GenBank genome assembly. Lineage: Eukaryota; Metazoa; Cnidaria; Anthozoa; Malacalcyonacea; Plexauridae.
UCGGAACUGUAGUCUUGUUUUUCGUAAUCGUUUCCUCCGAUUUUAUUUCUAUAUUCUUGGCUUUCAUAACCACCACAGACAAUCUUUCUGCUGUUGGAAGAUAACUCAAUGACAGCAGAACUUCCGUCUCGAUUUUCUUAGUCUGCAAAUAAAUUAUGCACAUGUUUAAAUGUAUUCAUGUCCGGCUAACUUUAUUUAUAUUGGAUAGCUUUAUCAGUUCUAAACUGUUCUCCUUGGAAGUUAAGUAAGGGGGACUUUUAUUGUCUUAUUGACCAGUAAACUAAACUAACUUUAUUCACACCGGAUAACUCUAUCAGUUCUAAACUGUUCUCCCUAGAGGUCCAGUAAGGGUCAUCUCUUCCUACAGGAGGAAACCUAAACUAAACUAACUUUAUUUAUACUUGAUAGUUUUGUCAGUUCUAAACUGUUCUCCCUAGCGGUCCAGUAAGGGUCAUCUCUUCCUACAGGAGGAAACCUAAACUAAACCUAAACUAUUUAUACUGCAUAACUCUAUCAGUUCUAAACCUAGAGAUGCAGUAUAAGGUUCAUCUCAUAUUGAUCUUGUAAUAAUGCAAGAGGAAACAGGAAUACACAGUUCUAUACUUCGAUCUGCGAUGUUUUAUUUAUUUAUUUAUUUAGCUUUGCCAACUAGGGCAGGGUCACCACAACAGCAUAUGCCAAUUACUGUGGGCCCUUUUUUUUUUUUUUUUACCUAACCCACCCUGUCAACUUUCCCUGUGGGAGGAAACCGGAGUACCCGGGGAAAACCCACGGCGUUCGGCAGAGCGUUGACUUUUACUCUUUUCACAUGGUGACUGGGUUCGAGUCGCACUGAGAAGGUACUUAGUGAGACUCGAACCUGCAGCCUCAGAGGUGAAAGGCAAGUGCGCUAACCACUUGGCCACCGAAGCCCCUUAGCCACUUAGCAGUUUUAAUGCCAACAUUUUGUUUGGAACCGAAGCGAAACACACGUAUUCACUGUGUCCGAAGCAAAUAUGGAGUUUCAACCGUUAUUUGAAACCCAGUGUG